RNAcentral lists this ribosomal RNA (757 nucleotides) under Lentilactobacillus buchneri. RNAcentral describes it as "bacterial SSU rRNA". It matches the Rfam family "Bacterial small subunit ribosomal RNA", at positions 52 to 765 of the family's 1533-position model. Lineage: Bacteria; Bacillati; Bacillota; Bacilli; Lactobacillales; Lactobacillaceae. The record is from RNAcentral.
UACAUGCAAGUCGAACGCGUCUCCGUUAAUGAUUUUAGGUGCUUGCACUUGAAAGAUUUAACAUUGAGACGAGUGGCGAACUGGUGAGUAACACGUGGGUAACCUGCCCUUGAAGUAGGGGAUAACACUUGGAAACAGGUGCUAAUACCGUAUAACAACCAAAACCACCUGGUUUUGGUUUAAAAGACGGCUUCGGCUGUCACUUUAGGAUGGACCCGCGGCGUAUUAGCUUGUUGGUAAGGUAACGGCCUACCAAGGCGAUGAUACGUAGCCGACCUGAGAGGGUAAUCGGCCACAUUGGGACUGAGACACGGCCCAAACUCCUACGGGAGGCAGCAGUAGGGAAUCUUCCACAAUGGACGAAAGUCUGAUGGAGCAACGCCGCGUGAGUGAUGAAGGGUUUCGGCUCGUAAAACUCUGUUGUUGGAGAAGAACAGGUGUCAGAGUAACUGUUGACAUCUUGACGGUAUCCAACCAGAAAGCCACGGCUAACUACGUGCCAGCAGCCGCGGUAAUACGUAGGUGGCAAGCGUUGUCCGGAUUUAUUGGGCGUAAAGCGAGCGCAGGCGGUUUUUUAGGUCUGAUGUGAAAGCCUUCGGCUUAACCGGAGAAGUGCAUCGGAAACCGGGAGACUUGAGUGCAGAAGAGGACAGUGGAACUCCAUGUGUAGCGGUGAAAUGCGUAGAUAUAUGGAAGAACACCAGUGGCGAAGGCGGCUGUCUGGUCUGUAACUGACGCUGAGGCUCGAAAGCAUGGG